Molecule: ribosomal RNA, 528 nt
Filed under: uncultured bacterium
Lineage: Bacteria
Description: bacterial SSU rRNA
Rfam family: Bacterial small subunit ribosomal RNA
Source: RNAcentral
AGACUUGAUCUCUGGAGUACUGUAACCUAACGGGUUAAGCAAGCCACCUGGGUAGCACAGUCGCAAGACCUGAAACUCAAAGGAAUAGGCGGGGGAACACACAAGCAGUGGAUGAUCUCGAUUAAUUGGACAAUAAGCCAAAAACCUUACCUAGGUUUGACAUGUAUCUCUAAGGUAGUGAAAGCUAUCGAGCGUAGCAAUACGCAAUUUACACAGGUGGUGCAUGGUCGUCGUCAGCUCGUGCCGCAAGGUAUCUAGUUAAGUCUAGAAACGAGCGCAACCCUCAUCUCUAGUUACAGUGUCUAGAGAAACUGCCUUCGCAAGAAGGAGGAAGGAGAGGAUGAUGUCAGAUCCUCAUGCCCCUUAUGCCUAGGGCUUCAUAGAUCAUACAAUGGGAAGUAACAAUGAGAAGCAAAGCCGCGAGGUAGAGCAAAACUCCAAACCUUCCCCAAGUUCAGAUUGUAGGCUGCAACUCGCCUACAUGAAGUCGGAAUUGCUAGUAAUGGUGAAUCAGCAAUGUCACCGUGA